AAUAGAUACCCGGGUAGUCCACGCCGUAAACGUUGGAUACUAGGUGUGGCGGUUAUACCAAUGACUGCCGUGCCGAAGCUAACGCAUUAAGUAUCCCGCCUGGGGAGUACGGCCGCAAGGCUAAAACUCAAAGGAAUUGACGGGUCCCCGCACAAGCGGCGGAGCAUGCGGCUUAACUCGAUGCAACCCGAAGAACCUUACCUGGGUUUGACAUCACGGGAAAAGCUGUAGAAAUACAGUGUCCGUAAGGGCCCGUGACAGGUGGUGCAUGGCUGUCGUCAGCUCGUGUCGUGAGAUGUUGGGUUAAGUCCCGCAACGAGCGCAACCCUUGUCCUAUGUUGCCAGCAGUUCGGCUGGGGACUCGUAGGAGACUGCCGGGGAUAACUCGGAGGAAGGUGAGGACGACGUCAAGUCAUCAUGCCCCUUAUGCCCAGGGCUGCAAACACGCUACAAUGGCCGGUACAGAGGGCUGCGAUCCCGCGAGGGUGAGCGAAUCCCACAAAGCCGGUCUCAGUUCGGAUUGGAGU
RNAcentral lists this ribosomal RNA (527 nucleotides) under uncultured bacterium. Its description in RNAcentral is "bacterial SSU rRNA". It matches the Rfam family "Bacterial small subunit ribosomal RNA", at positions 777 to 1304 of the family's 1533-position model. The record is from RNAcentral.